Molecule: ribosomal RNA, 1760 nt
Filed under: Wrangelia sp. DW
Lineage: Eukaryota; Rhodophyta; Florideophyceae; Ceramiales; Ceramiaceae
Description: SSU rRNA
Rfam family: Eukaryotic small subunit ribosomal RNA
Source: RNAcentral
CAACCUGGUUGAUCCUUCUGCAGGGAUAUGCUUGUCUCAAGGACUAGGCCAUGCAAGUGCCAGUAUGAGAUUUAAACAUCGAAACUGCGAAUGGCUCGGUAAAACAGCAAUAAUUUCUUCGGGGAUAUACUAUCGGAUAACCGUAGUAAUUCUAGAGCUAAUACGUGCCACAAACAUGGGGAAGUGGUACUUGUUUAGAUAACAAGCCAAUUUUUUGGUGAUUCAAAACAAUUUUUCUGAUCGUACUUUUGUACGACGCCCCGUUCAAAUUUCUGACCCAUCAACUUUGGAUGGUAAGGUAGUGUCUUACCAUGGUUUUGACGGGUAACGGACCGUGGGUGCGGGACUCCGGAGAGGGAGCCUGAGAAACGGCUACCACAUCCAAGGAAGGCAGCAGGCGCGCAAAUUACCCAAUCCGGACACCGGGAGGUAGUGACAAGAAAUAGCAAUAGAGGGCCCAAUGGGCUUUCUAAUUGGAAUGAGAACAAGGUAAACGGCUUAUCGAGGAGCCAGCAGAGGGCAAGUCUGGUGCCAGCAGCCGCGGUAAUUCCAGCUCUGUAAGCGUAUUUCAAAGUUGUUGCAGUUAAAACGCUCGUAGUCGAAUUUUGGUGGUCCAUUGCCGCGCAUCCGCGAGGAUGAGUGGCUUUGGCCGCCUUUGUGGAUAGGGGCUUUGGGGUGCUUUAUUGCAACCUGGAGUCGCUGCCACCGUUUACUGUGAAAAAAUUAGAGUGUUCAAAGCAAGCGUUUGCCGUGAAUACAUUAGCAUGGAAUAAUAGAAUAGGACCUGAGUCUUAUUUUGUUGGUUUGUUAAGUUCAGGUAAUGAUUAAGAGGGACGGUUGGGGACAUAGGUAUUUCGACGCUAGAGGUGAAAUUCUUAGAUUGUCGGAAGACCAACAGCUGCGAAAGCGUUUGUCAAGGACGUUUUCAUUGAUCAAGAACGAAAGUAAGGGGAUCGAAGACGAUCAGAUACCGUCGUAGUCUUUACUAUAAACGAUGAAAAUUAGGGAUCGGACGUGGCAAAUUUAGUACGUUCGGCACCUUCCGGGAAACCAAAAUGUUUGUUUUCUGGGGGGAGUAUGGUCGCAAGUCUGAAACUUAAAGGAAUUGACGGAAGGGCAUCACCGGGUGUGGAGCCUGCGGCUUAAUUUGACUCAACACGGGAAAACUUACCAGGUCAGGACAUUAGUAGGAUUAACAGAUUGAGAGCUCUUUUUUGAUUUAAUGGUUGGUGGUGCAUGGCCGUUCUUAGUUGGUGGAGUGAUCUGUCUGGUUAAUUCCGUUAACGAGCGAGACCUGCGCGUGCUAACUAGGCGCCACUACCUUCGUGGUAGUGAGGUGGCCUACUUAGACGGACUGAUGGCCGUUUAGCCAUUGGAAGUUGCAGGCAAUAACAGGUCUGAGAUGCCCUUAGAUGUUCUGGGCCGCACGCGUGCUACACUGAGCAGAUCAACGGGUGAGGUAACGCGAAAGCGUGACCCAAUCUCUAAAUCUGCUCGUGAUGGGGAUUGAGGCUUGCAAUUUUCCCUCCUGAACGAGGAAUACCUUGUAAGCACGGGUCAUCAUCCCGUGCUGAAUACGUCCCUGCCCUUUGUACACACCGCCCGUCGCUCCUACCGAUUGAGUGGUUAGGUGAGGCCUUGGGAAGGCCAGUUGCAGGAAUUUUUCCUUCUUCUGGAACAACUUGGUCAAAUCUCAUCACUUAGAGGAAGGAGAAGUCGUACCAAGGACUCCGUAGGUGAACCUGCAGAAGAAUCAAGCU